RNAcentral lists this microRNA precursor (71 nucleotides) under Heligmosomoides polygyrus. Its description in RNAcentral is "microRNA hpo-mir-10084 precursor". Lineage: Eukaryota; Metazoa; Nematoda; Chromadorea; Rhabditida; Heligmosomidae. The record is from miRBase by way of RNAcentral.
CUUCCGCUGCGAGAAUCUCUGGAGGAGGAGCGAUGUCUGUUCCUGCUCGAAGUUCUGCUGCAGAGGAGCUG